Molecule: ribosomal RNA, 354 nt
Filed under: Triticum aestivum (bread wheat)
Lineage: Eukaryota; Viridiplantae; Streptophyta; Magnoliopsida; Poales; Poaceae
Description: partial small subunit ribosomal RNA
Source: RNAcentral
AUGAAACUCCUCGUAUGGAACUGCCAUGGCAUGCGCAAACCUGCGGCAGUUCGAGCGCUCUUGGGGGUCCAAGAGCGAAUAAAACCGGAUGUGUUGUUCCUGUCUGAAACACACCUGGAUAAGGCUAAGGCAGGGAAACUGAAAAGGAGAUUAGGGUUUGAUGAGAUGGAAGUUUCGGAAAGCGAUGGUAGAAGUGGAGGUCUGAUCAUGUUCUGGCACACCAACCUGGGAGUCUCUUCCUGGGAAACUCAUGCAAAUUUCAUUGAUAUUCGAAUUAAGGAGACAACACCGGUGGGUUGGCGGUUCACAGGGUUCUACGGUGAACCAAGUAGCAACCGGAAACACCUGUCCUAG